Molecule: long non-coding RNA, 7075 nt
Filed under: Homo sapiens (human)
Lineage: Eukaryota; Metazoa; Chordata; Mammalia; Primates; Hominidae
Description: non-protein coding lnc-ACTR10-6:1
Source: RNAcentral
CUUGUGCCACACAUUGCAUUUUAAUAAACUUAAUUUAAUGAAGCGCUGCAUUCCACAAGUACAGUCAGUACAGUAGCUCUCCUUUGGGAUGGAAAAAUUACAAGAAGCAAUGCCGAGGACCGUGAACUGUAUACAGAAGCCUUGUGGAUCUAGAAACCAACAGUGUGUGAACUUAGGACAUUCUCAAGUUUUAAAACGUGGCCAUUAUAAUAUCAUCACAUUACAUAAAUAUCACAUCACCAAUAUUCGUUUUGUUUUUUUCUUUUAGAACCAAAAAAAAAUGCUUGUAAACUGCAAAAUUACUUUAGAUCACUGCGAUAAAUCUGAAUUAACUACUAGGUACCGUCAGCCCUUCAUAUUUGUGAGUUACACAUCUGUGGAUUCAACCAACCCUGGAUGGAAAAUACUCAGAAAAAAAAAUCAGUACAGAGUAGUGUCUGUACUAAACAGGUACACACUUUUUUUUCUUGUCAUUAUUCACUAAAUACAGUAAUAACAACUAAUUACAUAGCAUUUACAUAUUAAGUAUUAUAUGUUUAGAGAUGAUAUAAAGUAUACUUGAGGAUGUGCAUAGGUUAUUCGCAAAUACUACACCAAGUUAUGUAAGGCGCUUGAGCAUCCAUGAAUUUUGUUAUCAGCAGGGAGUUCUGGAACCAAUCCCCCAUGGAUACCUAGAGACAACUGUAAUUGCAAACUACUUCAGUGAAUAACAGAAGCUAACUAAAAACUUAGUUCUGAAUGAUUGGAUUGUCUGUUGCACUCUACCUACUGAAGCAGAGUGUUUACAUGGCCACAGGUAAUUCAUUCAGUAAUUUCAGGGUAUGACUCAAGAUGCAGUAUUCUUCUCUGCGGCUCUUCGCCUUGGAGCACUUGGAAGAUGCAUUAUCUGCUGAAAAACCAAUGUUCAGUGUGGGCUGAUAUAAUAAAAAUUAAAUACUUUAAAAACUGAAUCAAAAUCAUAGCUAAAAAUCAAUGCUAUAUAGUUUCUAUGACAUGAAAAAUCUGUGAACAAAUCAUUUAUUACAGGUCUUGUUUUAUGUUUCUCUUGUCAAAGAUAAUUAUUUAUUACAAGUGAGGUUUCUGCCAUCAGCAGAGUCAAGGGUAACCUGGAGUGCCUACCUCUUUGAAUUGUGAUACUCAAUCGAGUUUAUCCAUGUUAAGUACUGAGCACAGCACUUGGCCUACAGCAAGAGCUCAAGAAGUAUUUGUGAUUUUAUUAUCGCUAAGUAAAAAUAAAUUUGAGUUUCACUAAGAUUUUUGAAAUUCACAUUUUAUUUGCAUGGCAUAAAACUAGCCUAUUCAACAACUCCCCAUAAUUAAACUUGAAAAGAUCCUGAUUAUUUAUAACAGAAAAUAAUUAUGUCCCUAAUUCAUUUAUUUGCCUUUUUUUUUUCUGGUUGCCUUUGAUUGACUUCUGACCUUAAGCAUGAACAGAAAUGUGUGCUAAAAAGCCUGGUCUUUCCAGUGAAGAGUCAAUCAGUUUGCCAAAUGCUUACUCCAUAAUUUUAAUCUAAUAACAUUUUACUAAUAACAUUUUAUGAACAAGAACUUACUUUCACAUCCAGACAAUAUUUUUAGAAUAAAGCUCAUUGCACCUUAUAAUGUGCUUUAUUUAAUGUCAUCUUCUACCAUGUGCAAGAAGUUUGGGGGAGUAUGGGCUAGUAGAGAUGUUUACAAAGGUCUUGAUUGAAAGACCCACAGGGCUUUGUUAAUUGGUUUUAAAGAUACUUACAAUUUCUCUGCAAAUACAUAGAACAAAGACAAUAAAACGUUAUUUAGUAAGAUAUAAGUCCUAUUGAAUCAGUUGGUACCCACUUUCAUUUAUAGACCCUUCAGAGCUGAAAGGGAUGGGGAAGAGGGUGGAUGAAGAAGGUCUAAUGGAGAAUACACAGAAGAAGCAGAAGCCAUGGCUCCUCUUUUUAACAAUGACAGAGAAAGGAAAACAAUGGACAUAGCAAUAAACAUUUGCUCAUUUAAUUUUAGUCAAGUUAAAUCAAAUGUAAAAAAUGUGUGCCCUAUAAUAAUAAAUGACACAAAAAUACUAAUUAGAUUCAAGAGAGUUGAACUGAAUAACCCUUUAAUCAAUUUAAGUCACACAGUAAGUGUCCUUUUCCCCAGUAUUUCUCAUAAUACUACAUAUUAAUUGCGCUUAUGGUUAUUCAGUCUUAUUAUUUAAUUAUAAAAGCUUAUAGCUUUUACUUUGGGGGCAAAGACAAAGAGAAGAAAGUGUUCUCUAAUCCCUUAAGGAACAAGAAUAUGACAUUUGCCAAUGUGCGUUGUGUUUAUGGAGACUUCUUUCAACUCUGUUCUUAUUUUCAUCCUAUGGAGGCAUCCUGAGGUAAAUGGGCAGUUAUGGACCAUCAAAUGCGAAAUAAAUGUUUUAAUGAGGAAACACAGCUUGCUCGUUCAAAUACAACUUAGGAUUUUCACAAGCUGUUUUCCUUUCUUCUAUUCCUCUUAAAACAACCAUGGGAAAACAUAGCUACAGAGAGGUAACAAAAUACUAUGUAAAUUAUAAUCCUGAUUUUGUAUAAAAAUAAAAGUAUUUAUUGCAUAUCAUAAAUGCAUAGGAAAAAAAAGAUUAGAAAAGUACAGACCAAAAUGUUACCAAUGUUUAUUAUUGUUAACAUUUCGGGUGGGACUGGAAUGAUAAUUAUUCUUAAGUUUUUCUGAAUUUUCUCAAUUCUGCAUAUCAUUGUCCCUGAGGCCCUCCAGAAUCUGGCCUUGUGCUGAUAUGGCAACUAUGGGAAACUUGCUUUAUUUUUUAUAUGCUAAGGAAGGUAAGUGGCUUGACGAUUGCCCGUAAGAACUGUCAAAAGGCCACAGAAACUGCUCAGCACCAGGACACAGAGCUGCAUUGCUUGAUUCUGCAGGCUGCACAUCUAAGACCAGAUGUUGUCCUCAUACAUACCAGCCCUGAGAAAAAAGUUUCUUGGAUUUGUUUUCAAGAAAAACAAGAUAUUGAGCUUUGUUCCCUUGUCAAAGAAUAAGAAACUCUCCUAUUAGCCUUUACAAAUCAAGACAGUCAAACAGAUCUGAGAUAGUAACUCAUAUCUAGGGAUCAACCAAAGUAAUCCCCUAAAGGUAUUAGGAGAAUUUUCCCAGAUAUUUAAGUUUCAUUAAAUGCAAAGUUAGUUCACUGGUACCUACUAUUAAAAGUAACAGAAAAUGGCGAGGUGCAGUGGCUCAUGCCUGUAAUUCCAACAGCUCAGGAGGCUGAGGCAGCAUAGCUUGAGCCCAGGCGUUCGAGACCAGCCUGGGCAACAUAGUGAGACCCUGUCUCUACAAAAAAUAAAAAAAAAAAAAAUAGCUGAGAGUGCUGACACACAUCUGUAGUCCUAGCUACUCAGGAAGUUAAGGGGGAAGGAUCACUUAAGCCCAAGAGUUUGAGGCUGCAGUAAGCCAUGAUUGCACCAUUGCACUAUAGCCUGAGUGACAGAGUAAGACCCUGUCUCAAAAAAAGUAAACAAAAGAAGUCACAGAAAAUGACCACACAUUUACACUUUGUAAAAAUUAAUGCUGCCUAUACAUUUCUGGCAGGCUUGUAGGUUAUUUUUCUCAGGCCUAGAUAUGCUGGGAUAAUACAGGGUCAGCCCCUCCAGAAGGCAGAACACUAGACCAUCGUAUCUAGAAGCCUCAAAAGUCCCAUGACCCUAGUCAGCUUUAAAUGUUGUCUUUUCCCUCAUCUCUCCAUCUAAACAAUCUGCAAGUCCCACUGUCUACCCCUGCUGAACACCGCCAGAACCCAUUCUCCCCUUCCAUGUUCAUUUCUGCAACCUUGGUCCAGGCCAUGAUUAUCUCUCACUUACAUUGCUGCAUCAACCUUGACCUUCACUGGUGUCUCUGACUCCAGACUUUAACCUUCCCAAACCAGUCUUCCUAUUAACUCAGGCCUGAUCAUAACACUUCACAGCAUAAUAUUUUUGCAUGACUUCUAAUUGCCCUCAAAUAAAGUCCUCAUUCCUUGACAGGACCUAGAGGAUCCUUCCCAUUCAGCCCCGUAUUUCACAUAGCAUACUACCCUCAACCCCAACUCUCACUCCCCUAGAAUACCUAGCACCCCAGCCAGGCUAACUACUUGAUCUCUCACCCCUGGCCUUUGCACAUGGGGUUUCUCUGGCUAGAUCACAUAUCCCCUUCUCCCCUUUAUCUGAAUAACCCCACUCAUCCUCCUGGCCUUAGGUUUGAUGUUACCUGCUCUGGAGAAGCAUCCCUGAUCUUCUUGACCCAGUUAGAUAUUCCUUUUCUGGAUCCCAGUGUCUCUGAUAUGAAAUUGCCCAUUUUCUGUCUUCCCUACUAAUCCAUAAGCCCUUUCCAGUCAUGGACUGUGUCUUGGCUCCCCCAACACUUAACAUAUUACCUGACACAUAAAAGGCAUUCAAUAAAUACUGAUUCAGUCAGAAGCAAUAUCAAGUGUUCUUGGUUUGCUGAAGAUAGAGUCUCUAGCCAUCCUCACCCUCCUCGGCAAAGAACCAAUCAAAUCUUUGGGAUUCGAUUGGUUCAACCACAAAACCAUUUCCUAUUCCUCCUCCUUUACCUCUUACAUAAAGAGGGAAAUAAAGGAAAAUGACCAUUGAAGGUUUUGUAUCAAAAUUCCUUUUUGGAAGACUACUUAUAAUUUCCUACUUUAGUCUGUCUGGUCAUGAAGAAGUCUGAACUACACAAAUGCUGUGGCCAUGUCAUGAGACAUAAAAUUAGAGAAAUGAUUCAAAUGCUUUUGGUCCCUUCCUUUAUUUGACUGCUAAUUAGGAAGAGAAUAUUGAGAUGGACAUGACACUGGUUAAUAAAAACCUCAGUUUCCUGAACUGAUGCCAGGUUUAUUCUUUUGAGACUAGAGCAGAUGAUCUACCCACCUUAAAGGUAAUAAAAUAAUCCAAGUGGAUGCCCACUUUGCCUGCAACUUUGCUUGCACUCCAUUCCUAUACCUAUACACUUUGAGAAAAAAGAUAACAGGAUUUUCCCCCCACAGAUAAUUCUUCUGUUUCUACUCCUCAGUUCCUCCAUCCUUAACCCACAAAAGGUUACACCUCUCAGCAACAUCCAUCUGAAGAAUUUAUACUCUAUAUUACAAAUUGUUGAUGGUUAUCACUUACAUAAGUGAUCUUUUCCUGCUGCUUCUUGAAAAGAGAAAGUAGGAUAUUUGCUUUACUAGGUGGAAUAUGUAAGUUUUUUUACAUCAAUUUUUUUGUGCUUUUACACAAACUAGAACAUGGGAGCAAAUGACUUGUUUCUUUGUGCUUUUGCUGCUACUUACUGAGGGAAUUCCUUAAUUACUUCCUUCCUUCCUUCCUUCCUUCCUUCCUUCUCUUUAUCCUAUAUGCACAUGGUAGAAAUUUGGGUUAAUUAAAAGGGAGUUAGAUAUACCUAUUACCCCAAAUAGGACACUCCCAGUGCAUUUGUAUUACAGCGGCUUGCAAAAUAAAUGCUGGGGUUUUUUUCUGCAUGCAGAAAUUAAGCAACAGGAUUAUGUUUCCAGCUAUGUUAACUGCCAGUCUAUAAUUAUCAGGGCAACAUCUCUCCACAGCUCAUCUUCAGCUUAUCAGUCUAGGAGUGCUAAAUGUGCACAUGUGGGACUUUUACUAAGUCAGUACCAUUAUUUUGCUUUCAAAUUAUUUCCUAUUCCUAGAAGUUUAUAUUCAGUCAUUUGAAGACUGUGCAAUUAAAGAAGAUAUCUAACUGAGCUUAAGCUCAUUUAAAGUAACCAAGCACCUUUUACCUCCUCAUCCAUCUUGGACUUCAGUUCCCCACCCCCAGCUAUGUUCAUUCUAACUACUAUGAGAUAAUAUUAUUUGAUGGAGAAGGUGGAGGCAAAAUGGAUUUGUGUAGCUUUAUGGUCCCUUCUCCUGUUAAUGAUCUUCCUCAUUUGUAUUCUUCUCCUUGCUUUUCUCUAUAUUUUUUCAAGCAUUGGUCCAUUCAGAACUUUGGCAUCCUCCAGCACUUUCUAAUGUUUUGUGCCAUUUUUAUAUUUGCCUUGCAUUAUGAUUUUCCUCCAUCUUCUUCUACCAUAUUUCUUUGCUUGAAACCACACCUUCACAUACCAUAAAGGGAAGAGAUUUUUUUUCAGUUGUGUUCCUGCCUCUUCAAAUUCCUCUGUGGUCAUAAAAAAGCCUGUCUUGCCAAAAUGUCACGUAGCUAUAACCUUGCGCCAAAUAGUACAUCUUGUUUCCAAAAGCUGUUUUUUUGGCAGCUGGUAGGAACAUGGAUUAUUCAUAUCUGCAGAAAUCACAAUCCCUGUGGAGGAUUUGAUUCUUCUCCCCCAGGUUGUGGCUGUGAUUGGAAAUAAGGUGUUUCAUUUGGACUUCUACAGGAAGAAGACACCUGGAGGCAGACACAGAAGGAAGAGCGAGGUAUUCAGUAUGCUCCAUGCACUCUAUGUAAUUUUCGGAUACCUAUAUAAAAUGUUUUGGCUUUUAACGCUUAGCAUUUGGGGAAAAAAAUCAUAAAAUGAAAAACCACUUUUAAUUGACUCUUCAAAAAUUACUUUAAAUGUGUUCUAAAACUUGGCUUUAAAAUUUCUUCAUACAGUUUUGACCUAUGUUAAGAGAUACAGGUACUUUAAGAAAGUGUUUCUGGAAAAUUGUAUUUGAGGCAGUUUAUCAGCUGAAGGCACAGCUAAGGCAUCGCUAAGGGAAUCUGUUACCCUGGGAUACUAAUUAACUCCAAAUAUUGCAUAUAAAUUAAGCUAGCAGCUACUGAAAGAAACAGCUUAUGGGAAAGAAAAAACUAAAGAGGUUGGAAAGAAAAGCACUGUCUUUUCUAAUUAGAGAAAAAGACAUCAGGGGUAUGGGAGAAACCCUUUUCUCUCCAUCCCAGCCUUCUAUUCUUUUUCUAGUAGCUUCCAUCCUUUUCUCUUUCCUUGUUUUCCUUUCUCCUUUCUCCACAGCAGGUGUGAUUUAUUGGAUAGCAUGACCAGGGAAAGUGUCUCUUCCUACAGGGGACUGCUCUCCUUGUCUCUUUUGUGUGUGUGUGUGUGUGUGUGUGUGUGUGUUUGUGUGUGUGUGUGUUAAGAACAUUUAAUGUGAGAUCUACCCUCUUAACAAAAAUUUUUGUUUUGUUUUGUUUUUUGUUUUUGUUU